Molecule: ribosomal RNA, 492 nt
Filed under: uncultured bacterium
Lineage: Bacteria
Description: partial 16S ribosomal RNA
Rfam family: Bacterial small subunit ribosomal RNA
Source: RNAcentral
AGUGAACGCUGGCGGUAGGCCUAACACAUGCAAGUCGAACGGCAGCACAGUAAGAGCUUGCUCUUACGGGUGGCGAGUGGCGGACGGGUGAGGAAUACAUCGGAAUCUACUUUUUCGUGGGGGAUAACGUAGGGAAACUUACGCUAAUACCGCAUACGACCUACGGGUGAAAGCAGGGGAUCUUCGGGCCUUGCGCGAUUGAAUGAGCCGAUGUCGGAUUAGCUAGUUGGCGGGGUAAAGGCCCACCAAGGCGACGAUCCGUAGCUGGUCUGAGAGGAUGAUCAGCCACACUGGAACUGGGACACGGUCCAGACUCCUACGGGAGGCAGCAGUGGGGAAUAUUGGACAAUGGGCGCAAGCCUGAUCCAGCCAUACCGCGUGGGUGAAGAAGGCCUUCGGGUUGUAAAGCCCUUUUGUUGGGAAAGAAAAGCAGCAGGUUAAUACCCCGCUGUUCUGACGGUACCCAAAGAAUAAGCACCGGCUAACUUCGUG